This 318-nucleotide ribosomal RNA is filed under the name Triticum aestivum (bread wheat). RNAcentral describes it as "partial small subunit ribosomal RNA". Lineage: Eukaryota; Viridiplantae; Streptophyta; Magnoliopsida; Poales; Poaceae. The record is from RNAcentral.
AUGCAUGUAACGGCUGAAAAUGCAAGGACCAAAGUAACCAAUUCGAUAUGGAUUCCCCCAACAGAUUUCGAUGUGAAAAUUAAUGCUGAUGGUGGUGUCUCAAGAUGUGGCGGGAGAGGCGCUGCGGCAGUCGUCUGCCGAGAUAAGGCGGGAACUUUCUUGGGAGCUUCAGCUAGAGUUUUCGAAGGUCUUACGGACCCGCCCUCGCUAGAGGCGCAAGCAUGUAAUGAAGCUCUUGCCUUGGCCGAGGACCUCAACUUGAAUGUUGUAUGUGUGGCAUCAGAUUGUGCUGAAGUGAUCUUCAAGAUCGGGACUUGA